UCAAGCAGCUGAGUCAAAUUCAUAUCUUCAAAAUUGUAACCCACAGCUUCAAAACUCGCAUAACUGAAACCAUCUUCUGGAGUGAUGUGAAUUGUAGAGAUUGCAUCCCCUUCAAUGGCAUUCAUGGAGUAACCACAUGGGUCAAAAUCAAAAUCACAGAUAUCAGAUUGUGGGAGGAUCUUCCUAAUACCAGAUUCCUCAGUCAUCACAGCAGCUGAACUGGAUUGUGUUUUGUAGAAAACAGAUGCUCGGUCCCUGUCCAAGCCAGU
This 269-nucleotide unclassified non-coding RNA is filed under the name Hevea brasiliensis (rubber tree). Lineage: Eukaryota; Viridiplantae; Streptophyta; Magnoliopsida; Malpighiales; Euphorbiaceae. The record is from RNAcentral.